AUUGAACGCUGGCGGCAUGCCUUACACAUGCAAGUCGAACGGCAGCGGGGGAGAAGCUUGCUUUUCCUGCCGGCGAGUGGCGAACGGGUGAGUAAUACAUCGGAACGUGCCCUGUAGUGGGGGAUAACUAGUCGAAAGAUUAGCUAAUACCGCAUACGACCUGAGGGUGAAAGUGGGGGACCGCAAGGCCUCAUGCUAUAGGAGCGGCCGAUGUCUGAUUAGCUAGUUGGUGGGGUAAAGGCCUACCAAGGCGACGAUCAGUAGCUGGUCUGAGAGGACGAUCAGGCAAACGGGGACGGAGACACGGCCCAGACUCCUACGGGAGGCAGCAGUGGGGAAUUUUGGACAAUGGGCGAAAGCCUGAUCCAGCAAUGCUGCGUGUGUGAAGAAGGCCUUCGGGUUGUAAAGCACUUUUGUCCGGAAAGAAAUGGCUCUGGUUAAUACCUGGGGUCGAUGACGGUACCGGAAGAAUAAGGACCGGCUAACUACGUGCCAGCCGCCGCCGUAA
This 508-nucleotide ribosomal RNA is filed under the name uncultured bacterium. RNAcentral's name for it is "partial 16S ribosomal RNA". It matches the Rfam family "Bacterial small subunit ribosomal RNA", at positions 30 to 523 of the family's 1533-position model. The record is from RNAcentral.